RNAcentral lists this transfer RNA (86 nucleotides) under Nicotiana sylvestris (wood tobacco). It matches the Rfam family "tRNA". Rfam says of the family: Transfer RNA (tRNA) molecules are approximately 80 nucleotides in length. Their secondary structure includes four short double-helical elements and three loops (D, anti-codon, and T loops). Lineage: Eukaryota; Viridiplantae; Streptophyta; Magnoliopsida; Solanales; Solanaceae. RNAcentral also lists the same sequence under 1 other name. The record is from Rfam by way of RNAcentral.
GGAUGGAUGUCUGAGCGGUUGAAAGAGUCAGUCUUGAAAAUCAAAGUAUUUAUAGAAUACCGGGGGUUCAAAUCCCUCUCCAUCCG